CGCAGCUGCUGCUGAUGAUGUCAGGAGGGGUAUAAAAGGAACGGCUGCAUCUCCCGUUUCAUUCACCUGUUCACUAAUCUGAGGCCAGCAGUGAUCCCUGCAGACAGAACCAUGAAGAAGCUGUGCAUCGGGUACCUCGGAGUUCUCCUGCUGGCUCUGCAUCUCUCCGCACAGGUGGCUCGAGCUCAGACCACCGUGGGGCCCAACACCACCACCACCACCACCACCACCACCCCCCCCCCAACGCCACCACCCCCAACGCAGCCUCUGUGUUACCGGGCAGCCUCGUCUCCUGCACGCUGCUGCUCCCGCUGGCUCUGGCGGCGUUUCUGCUCCACGACUGGUCCUAACGAGCGGACGGAUCUAACCGGACACUUAACGGCCAACACUGGUGGACUCGGGCUGCAGCAAUAGCCUAUUCCAAGAGCAGUUCUCUAAAAUGAUCCCUUCUAAUCAAACGCGUUUGGAUUUCACUUUUCUUUUUUUUUUUUUUUUUGUCCUCGGUGGGGGAAAUUGUAACGGGAGCGCGCACCCAGCGCCAUCCCCAUUACGCACCAGCCCGGGACGCGCCCUGCUGCUUCGCGUCGUCCUGUCCCGUUCUUUGCAAGCGCCCUCCAUGGACUGAAAAUUUUCGUUGUCCGGGGAAAUGCUGGUCUCUUGGCUGAGGCAGUUAUCUUCUAUGGGGGUAGGAGGAAAGACGGGUAGCUUGUGCCCGUUGUGCGCUCUUAAAAACGAUACUUGAUACCGGAUUUGUUAGGCCUAUGGUGAUUGUAAGCGAACUUAGAAAAUUUGUACAAAAAUGAUGGCAAUGUGAAAUGUACUUUUAGAUCUUGGAUUUUGUAAGUUCAAUAAAGCUUUAAAGUGUUGGUGACCUGA
Molecule: long non-coding RNA, 876 nt
Organism: Acanthochromis polyacanthus (spiny chromis)
Lineage: Eukaryota; Metazoa; Chordata; Actinopteri; Pomacentridae
Exons: 2
Source: RefSeq, a predicted model, not a curated record